Molecule: long non-coding RNA, 1600 nt
Filed under: Homo sapiens (human)
Lineage: Eukaryota; Metazoa; Chordata; Mammalia; Primates; Hominidae
Description: LHRI_LNC1508.12
Source: RNAcentral
AGUGUUUACUUCGCCUCCACUUCUGUUCCUCCCCGCCCUGGUGCUGCUCCAGGUCACAUACUCUUCCUGAGCCGGCUUCAGCCUCUCCGCGCAGAAGUCUCCCGGAGCCAUGGCCUAGUAUUCUUAUGUGAAGUCUACCAAGCUUGUGCUCAAGGGAACCGAGGUGAAGAGCUGGGUCCUGCAGCUCCGGCGGGAGCCUCCUCAGUUCUUUUCGGACGCACUCCACCCCCGCGAAUCCGGUGGAAGCCGUGAUGCGGAGAGCCGGCUUCGUGGCCUCCCAGGCUUCGCUCUGACCCUGUCUGGGCUGGAUGGAGGCCGGACCGCCCUUCCUGGCGCCUGUGCAGAGAGGGGCAGCCUCCUGCGCGGACGACCCUGGAAACAGGAUAGACGGGCGGGUGACCCGUGACCCCGUACCCACGAGUUUGGGUCCCUUGAGGCAUCUCUCCAGGCCUCUGCCUGAUUUGCCUGAGGUUGACUGUACAUGCAAAUAUUGAGCUUUCCUCCUGGCCUCCGUGAUAAACAGAAGUUUUGAUAUUGUUAGGCGAGAUGGAAAGAAAGUAUCAAGGAGUGAGCUGAAGCCACUGCCCUUGAGAACCCUCUCGAGGAGUCUGGCCUCAUGAAGAUGCCAGAAUAAAUGGCAGAGCUAAGAAGUGACAGAAUCGGGAUUUAAAAUCUGGCGGUGUGGCUCUACAAUCUGCUUUGAACUUUAACAUAAUAUGUACAAAGCCUGAAGCAAAUUCUCAGUACUGUAUUUAAGAGGGCAUAGCAAUUAAGAAGAAAAAGAGCAAAGAUAAGAAGAGAAAAAGAGAAGAUGAAGAAACCCAGCUUGAUAUGUUGAGGAACGCAGCUGCUCACCAGCAACGGAACAAAGCUGGACGGAGAAUGACUUUGAAGAGCUGAGAGAAGGCUUCAGACGAUCAAAUUACUCUGAGCUACGGGAGGACAUUCAAACCAAAGGCAAAGAAGUUGAAAACUUUGAAAAAAAUAAAUGUACAUUAAUUAACGUGGAAUCUGGUGAACAGUAACAAACUUUGGUGAAAUUUCAGGAACCAUAGCCAUUGAAGUGGAUGAGGGAACCUAUAUACAUGCACUCAACAAUGGUCUUUUUACCCUGGGAGCUCCACACAAAGAAGAAUCGCCCUGAAACCUGGCUAUGGAAAAUAUCUUAGUAUAAAUUCAGAUGAACUUGUUGUUGGCGUUCAGAUGCAAUUGGACCAAGAGAACAAUGGGAACCAGUCUUUCAAAAUGAUGGCCAUCCAGUAAUGAGAAUGAACAGUCUCCAACUAAAGGCAACAAUAUAGAUGAAUCUCGGAAACAUGAUAUUGACCAGACAGAAAAGAUUCCACUUACAUAAACUUCAAAAGAAGAUAAAACUGAUCUAUGACAUUAAUAGUCAGAAUAUUCAUUAUCCUUGAGGGAACUAAACUGGGAAGCCACAUGAUAGGGCAUCUGGAAGCUAGUAAUGUCCUCUUUCUUGAUCUGUUACAUUGGUGUGUUUAUUUCAUUAGAUUUAUUGAGCUAUACAUUUACCACCGUGUACUUGUCUCUGUAUAUGUUUUGCAUUGAAAUAAAUUUUACCAAUAAAAUGAUAAAGCAAAAU